Molecule: ribosomal RNA, 440 nt
Filed under: Phorcus lineatus
Lineage: Eukaryota; Metazoa; Mollusca; Gastropoda; Trochida; Trochidae
Description: partial 16S ribosomal RNA
Rfam family: Bacterial large subunit ribosomal RNA
Source: RNAcentral
GGUUUGACGAGAGCUAUGCUGUCUCUUUCGAAAUAUUUAAAAAUUAACUUUUAGGUAAAGAGGCCUAAAUUCGUUUAAGGGACAAGAAGACCCUGUUGAGCUUUAGUGAUCCUAUAAAUUAAUGGGCAAUUUAUUGGUUGUUGUGUAUUUGUGUAUUAUAUAUAACGUAAGUUUAAAGGUAAUCUUUAGUUGGGGCGACUGAGGAACAUGGAAAGCUUCCUUGAAUUUAAAAGCAUGUUGGGCAAUUAAUUUGUUGAUGCAUCUGCGUUAAUUUUGAUCCAAUUUAUUUUGAUUAAGAGAAAAAGUUACCACAGGGAUAACAGCGUAAUCUUUCUGGAGAGAUCUAAUCAAAAGAAGGGUUUGCGACCUCGAUGUUGGACUAAGAUAUCCUGAGGGUGCAGAAGUUCUCAAAGGUUGGUCUGUUCGACCAUUAAAAUCUU